This 488-nucleotide ribosomal RNA is filed under the name Sphingomonas sp. UMB 12. Its description in RNAcentral is "bacterial SSU rRNA". It matches the Rfam family "Bacterial small subunit ribosomal RNA", at positions 96 to 623 of the family's 1533-position model. Lineage: Bacteria; Pseudomonadati; Pseudomonadota; Alphaproteobacteria; Sphingomonadales; Sphingomonadaceae. The record is from RNAcentral.
UGGCGCACGGGUGCGUACGCGUGGGAAUCUGCCCCUUGGUUCGGAAUACCAGUUGGAACGACUGCUAUACCGGAUGAUGACGUAAGUCCAAAGAUUUAUCGCCGAGGGAUGAGCCCGCGUAGGAUUAGGUAGUUGGUGUGGUAAAGGCGCACCAAGCCGACGAUCCUUAGCUGGUCUGAGAGGAUGAUCAGCCACACUGGGACUGAGACACGGCCCAGACUCCUACGGGAGGCAGCAGUGGGGAAUAUUGGACAAUGGGCGAAAGCCUGAUCCAGCAAUGCCGCGUGAGUGAUGAAGGCCUUAGGGUUGUAAAGCUCUUUUACCCGGGAUGAUAAUGACAGUACCGGGAGAAUAAGCUCCGGCUAACUCCGUGCCAGCAGCCGCGGUAAUACGGAGGGAGCUAGCGUUAUUCGGAAUUACUGGGCGUAAAGCGCACGUAGGCGGCUUUGUAAGUAAGAGGUGAAAGCCCAGAGCUCACUCUGGAAUUG